CGGCACGAAAAUAUUCAGUUUGCAGCCAGAGCUCGUCUGGAGCAGAUCUACUUUUAUUCGGCUUUAAAUAUUCAAAAAAAUAUCAAAAUUUUUAAGUGAACAAAAUGUGAAACAAUAAAUAAUUUUGUACAAAUUAUACAAACAAUUUUUCGGUAUUCCUUAGUAACUUCUCUACUGGACGUAAUACUUGCUUCCUAAGUUCUCAAACAAUUACACAACAACAACAAAAACAAGAAACACAAAUGUUUACAAUUAUAUUCCUUUGGAUCGCGGAGUGAGUACAAGCGAAUUGUUUUAUUGCAUUUCUGGUUUUCGUUUUAAAGAGAUAUUUACAUGUUUGGACAUUUUUAUUCUUAAUAAUGUUCCUUAAAUCACAAGUGUUCUUCGGUGUUUUCAGUUUAUUUUGCGCUUAAAGGAGGGUGUUGGGGGUAUGUGGUAUUUAUACACAACAUUAUGAACAAAAUACAACAAAAAUGGAUUCAUGUUUGGACUCUAAAUAAGAGCUUGGAUUUCAAUUACUCAACACAAAUUUGAUUUUGCGCUUCAUGUUAAAAAGGUUGCCUCGUACAACAUGUUAACCAUCUGAUUUCACAAACUGGCGAUGGAACCCGUCUCGAUUUGACGCGCAGCCUGGCAUCUGGAUUUUCGAUCGUUCAUCUAUUAGUUGUUACAAUCAUUAACAAAUAAAUGAGAACGAUCUCGAUAGAGCUUCUGCAAAUGU
Long non-coding RNA from Drosophila serrata, 721 nucleotides. RefSeq lists it as uncharacterized. The record is from RefSeq and is a predicted model, not a curated record. Lineage: Eukaryota; Metazoa; Arthropoda; Insecta; Diptera; Drosophilidae.